RNAcentral lists this long non-coding RNA (770 nucleotides) under Brachypodium distachyon (stiff brome). Its description in RNAcentral is "long non-coding RNA (BDIS_LNC005954)". The record is from RNAcentral. Lineage: Eukaryota; Viridiplantae; Streptophyta; Magnoliopsida; Poales; Poaceae.
GUAGGCAUAUCAUACGGAAGUGGUAUAGUCGGAUGUGGUGUGUUCGUUGGUGAAGUCUUGUGCGUCUCGGGUGGUGGUGCAACUAGCAUCGAUGGUGAUCUUGUGGGAUCGUGGUCAUAUUGAGUGGUGCAAUAGAAAAUUCCUUCAGUAUGAAACCAUGUGACAGAAACUUGAGGAAGAAUAUACAUUAUUAUUGGUCCAUGGUUAGCAAAUAAAAGUUUGCAAAAAAAAAAAGGUCCCAGAUCCGCACGGGUUGAAGACAAUUUUCAACGAGUUAAAGGGUCAUUUUGCGCAUGGCAUGAUUUUUUUGCGUCUUUUUUUUGUUUUGCAUCAUGUUCUUUUAACCGGCAUGAGAUUGUUUUGAGGGGGAGAUGUGACACCAUCUUCGGCGCCAUCACCAACUAUACUUUAAUAGUAAAGAAGAUAUGAUCGGCCCAAAUAUUAUAGACCAUCGACCAACUAUAUCCGAGUAUUGGGCCAAAAGGAAAUAUGGGUGGAGACACUUCUUUUGAAAAUUCAACUUAAAUAUUUAUCUUAAAAACUAAACAAGAUAUUGUUGCAAUUCUGAAAUUUAAAGGAGGCUUGUGGGUCAACAGAUUCAGCCUGCUUUUGGUCCGCCGCGAAGCACAGCGUGCCUUUCCUUCACAAGAAAAACAUCAUGUCUCGGUGUCUCCGGUUCAAAAUUCAAGCAUUCGUCUAAUCAAACUGUAUCAAGGGAGUCCUAGCAAAAUUGCACUUUUUUUUUGAGCAUUUUGCAGAACAUCUUUGGC